UUGACCUCGAUCAGUACCUGCCCCG
This 25-nucleotide ribosomal RNA is filed under the name Alternaria sp. MY-2011. RNAcentral's name for it is "partial 28S large subunit ribosomal RNA". The record is from RNAcentral. Lineage: Eukaryota; Fungi; Ascomycota; Dothideomycetes; Pleosporales; Pleosporaceae.